AGAGUUUGAUCAUGGCUCAGAGCCAACGCUGGCGGCGUGCCUAAUACAUGCAAGUCGAACGGGGAAGUACCUUCGGGUAUUGUACUAGUGGCGUACGGGUGAGUAACACGUGGAUAAUCUGCCCUCAGGUGGGGAAUAACUAACCGGAAGGUUAGCUAAUACCGCAUAAGACCACAAUCUCUACGGAGAAAGGGGUUAAAGGCUUCGGUCGCCUGAGGAUGAGUCCGCGUCCCAUUAGCUAGUUGGUAGGGUAAUGGCCUACCAAGGCAUCGAUGGGUAGCUGGUCUGAGAGGAUGAUCAGCCACACUGGGACUGAGACACGGCCCAGACUCCUACGGGAGGCAGCAGUAGGGAAUAUUGCACAAUGGAGGAAACUCUGAUGCAGCGACGCCGCGUGAGUGAUGAAGGCCUUCGGGUUGUAAAGCUCUGUUCUCAGGGAAAAAGAAAGUGAUUGUACCUGAGGAGAAAGGACCGGCUAACUUCGUGCCAGCAGCCGCGGUAAGACGAGGGGUCCUAGCGUUGCUCGGAAUUAUUGGGCGUAAAGCGGGUGUAGGUGGCUUUGUAAGUCAGAAGUGAAAGCCCCAGGCUUAACCUGGGAAGUGCUUUUGAUACUGCUUAGCUUGAGUGUGGGAGAGGAUAGUAGAAUUCCUGGUGUAGUGGUGAAAUACGUAGAUAUCAGGAGGAAUACCGGUGGCGAAGGCGGCUAUCUGGCCCAACACUGACACUCAGACCCGAAAGCGUGGGGAUCAAACAGGAUUAGAUACCCUAGUAGUCC
RNAcentral lists this ribosomal RNA (775 nucleotides) under uncultured bacterium. Its description in RNAcentral is "bacterial SSU rRNA". It matches the Rfam family "Bacterial small subunit ribosomal RNA", at positions 8 to 796 of the family's 1533-position model. The record is from RNAcentral.